UCUAAAUUUCUUAAAUAUACAAGCGAUGAAAUUGAGAAAAAAGUAAACUCGUAAUUUUCCACCAAAAAACAUAAACCCGUGAUUUUCCUGCCAAAAAUUUAAACCCGUGAUUUUUCCCCCAAAAACGUAACCCGAGAUUUUUCUGCCAAAAAUAUAAACCCGUGAUUUUUCUGUCAAAAACUUAAACCCGUGAUUUUCCCGCCAAAAACGUAAACCCGAGAUUUUUCCGCCAAAAACGUAAAUCCAUAAUUUUUCCGCCAAAAACGUAAACUCAUAAUUUUCCCGCCAAAAAACAUAAACCCGUAAUUUUCCCGCCAAAAACGUAAACCCAUGAUUUUUCCGCCAAAAACGUAAACCCGUGAUUUUCCCGCCAAAAACGUAAAUCCGUGAUUUUCCCGCCAAAAACGUAAACCUAAGAUUUUCCCGCCAAAAACGUAAACUCGUAAUUUUCCCGCCAAAAACGUAAAUCUUUUAAACACCGUGAUUUUCCCGCCAAAAAUGUAAAUCCGUGAUUUUCCCGCCAAAAACGUAAACCCGAGAUUUUCCCGCCAAAAAUGUAAACCCGUAAUUUUCCGCCAAAAACGUAAACCCGUGAUUUUCCCGCCAAAAACGUAAAUCCGUAAAAAGUGGAAUCCGUAAAUAUCCUAAGUUUGAUGAUAAUGAAUUAAUAAUGAUAAUUAUUUAUUAUUGUUUUAUAAUAGUAAUUA
This 707-nucleotide small RNA is filed under the name Arabidopsis thaliana (thale cress). Its description in RNAcentral is "ATSL241110". Lineage: Eukaryota; Viridiplantae; Streptophyta; Magnoliopsida; Brassicales; Brassicaceae. The record is from RNAcentral.